This is a non-coding RNA of Peromyscus maniculatus bairdii (prairie deer mouse), 414 nucleotides long. Lineage: Eukaryota; Metazoa; Chordata; Mammalia; Rodentia; Cricetidae. The record is from RefSeq and is a predicted model, not a curated record.
GGCUAAAGGCCUAGAAUGAUUGGUUUAGUAUUUGGCCUGCUGUGUGGACUUCAGGCAUCCAGGAAAUUCAUUUGCUGGUUCUUGCAAAGAGCUAGUCACAUGUAACACACGACCACCCACCUUCUGGCAACUGAGCAAGAGAAGAGCGAGCCUGAGGUCCGAGUGUCCCUGCCAAAGGAGUGAACUGCCCAUUUGUGGGACUGAUGUCAUCUAGAAUAUCUCAUCUAUAGAGUCACACCUGAGGCUGUGCAUCUCUGAGCAACCUCAUCAGCAUCACUGCUGUGCCCAUCUGCAUUUGUUCCUGUUCCCCACAAGAUUGUUGUGCGCCAUUAGUGGCCUAAAUUUGCUACAAUGCAAAGAAAAUGACAAACUUUAUGUCUUUAUGUUUAAAAAAAACUUUAAAAAAGGCAGUGU